CCCUUAGAUGUUCUGGGCCGCACGCGUGCUACACUGAGUGGAUCAGCGGGUCAGGUUACGCGAGAGCGUUUCCUAAUCUUCAAAUCCGCUCGUGAUGGGGAUUGACGGUUGCAAUUUUCCGUCAUGAACGAGGAAUACCUUGUAAGCGCGGGUCAUCAUCCCGCGCUGAAUACGUCCCUGCCCUUUGUACACACCGCCCGUCGCUCCUACCGAUUGAGUGGUCCGGUGAGGCUUUGGGAUCUAAGCGAAAAGAGCGUUUCGCUCCUUUUGCUGGGAGAACUCAGUCGAACCUUAUCAUUUAGAGGAAGGAGAAGUCGGAACA
Molecule: ribosomal RNA, 322 nt
Filed under: uncultured eukaryote
Lineage: Eukaryota
Description: partial 18S ribosomal RNA
Rfam family: Eukaryotic small subunit ribosomal RNA
Source: RNAcentral